Molecule: ribosomal RNA, 237 nt
Filed under: uncultured bacterium
Lineage: Bacteria
Description: partial 16S ribosomal RNA
Rfam family: Bacterial small subunit ribosomal RNA
Source: RNAcentral
UUGUCCGGAUUUACUGGGCGUAAAGAGCGCGCAGGCGGUCGUUCAAGUCGCGUGUGAAAGCCCCCGGCUCAACUGGGGAGGGUCACGCGAUACUGAUCGACUCGAAGGCAGGAGAGGGUAGUGGAAUUCCCGGUGUAGUGGUGAAAUGCGUAGAUAUCGGGAGGAACACCAGUGGCGAAGGCGACUGCCUGGCCUGUUUCUUGACGCUGAGGCGCGAAAGCUAGGGGAGCAAACGGG